AGGGGGAAAGGAGGGGCUCCCGCCGCUCGCUCGCCUCACGAGCUCGGCGGCGGGGCUGCGAGGAGGGAGAGGGCUGAGGAGGAGGAGGAGGCGGCCUUCGCCGGGCCUGCGUUUAGGAGGCUGGGGCCUAGCGGGACGGUCGGCCAGCCGUGUAGGGUCCGAGAAGGGAAAAGCCUCGGCUGCUCGGAGGGGGUGGCUGUGGGCUGCUCAGCGGCGCCGGUGGGCGGAGGGAGGGCGCGGCGCUGACAAGCUCUCCUCCCCCUUAUAUAUACAGUAUACAGUAUAUAUAUAGAUAGGGGAAGGGGUUGCUCGGGAGCCCCCUGGAAGUCUCGCCCCUCUCCCUCUCGGCGCCCCUUUCCCGCUCUUCACACUUGAAUUUCUUCUGUAUUUUUUUCCCUUCCAAGUCGCACCUUUUCCUCUCCGGAUUCAUGUGCUGACCGCUCGUUUCUUUUGCCUUCCUCUUCUUCCUCCUCCUCACCACCACCUUCUAUUUCUGGGCUUCCUGAGGGCAUCUGCUUGGCCGCUGUGUGUGGGGAGAGAGAGAGAGUUAGGGUGGGAACGAGAUGGGGGGCCUUUGGUCCGAUCCGUCAGGGCUGGUCUUAUAUUCCUGGAAGUCAGUGUGCCUGUUCGGAUCUGCACUGUGCACAGAAGUCCAUGUGGGGAGGAGGAGGAGGAAAAGGAAAGGAUCUGUGGCAGUCACUCCUCUGUUUGUGCAAAAUGGCAUUAAAAAAAACAGGCAAUCUCCAACAUAUAAAUAAUCCCCCUGGAACUAAAGCCAAAAGUACACUGCUCCUGGAUCAAUUAAAGAUGUUGGCUGCAUGUGAAGACUCUUGGAGAAAUCAGGCAAGUAUUGCCUUGUAAUCUGUAUGCUUUUGGCAGUGGUCUCCUCAGUCAGUUGUGCAUAUUGUUGUCCUGCUCCAAAUCAGCACAGUGUCACUUGAAAGAAAAUGUCAGAGAUUUUGAAGGCCUGUGCAGAUCUUGUUUGAGUAUGUAAAGAGAGAAUGUUGAAACUAAGUGAAUUCCUUUUGUGGAAAUGUAGCAACAUAGAAGAUUGCCUCAUACAGGAUCAGAUUAGCUGUCCACCCAGCCAAGUAUUUUUGUCUCCUCAAUGACUAUCCAAGAUAUCUCUCAGAGUUCUUGCCCAUCAUCGGCAACCUGAUCCCUCUAAUUGUGGGUGUAAAAAGAUUGAACAUGCAAAGCAUAUGCUCUUUCACUGGGCCUUGUGUAUAAAAUAAGGAUAGUGUGUGUCACAAUGUGGCUGAACUGUUGCUGUGCCAUGAAUAUAAAUGGGUGCUGAUAAGUAUUGAGCCUUUCCGAGAAAAAAUUGAGCUAGGAAGCUGUAACUGCUAUACUAUUCUACGUAUUCCCCCAGGAAGUC
This 1378-nucleotide long non-coding RNA is filed under the name Pogona vitticeps (central bearded dragon). Its description in RNAcentral is "lncRNA (ENSPVIG00000024474.1)". Lineage: Eukaryota; Metazoa; Chordata; Lepidosauria; Squamata; Agamidae. The record is from RNAcentral.